Molecule: ribosomal RNA, 818 nt
Filed under: uncultured Actinomycetes bacterium
Lineage: Bacteria; Bacillati; Actinomycetota; Actinomycetes
Description: bacterial SSU rRNA
Rfam family: Bacterial small subunit ribosomal RNA
Source: RNAcentral
ACUCCUACGGGAGGCAGCAGUGGGGAAUAUUGCACAAUGGGCGCAAGCCUGAUGCAGCAACGCCGCGUGAGGGACGACGGCCUUCGGGUUGUAAACCUCUUUUAGUAGGGAAGAAGCGAAAGUGACGGUACCUGCAGAAAAAGCACCGGCUAACUACGUGCCAGCAGCCGCGGUAAUACGUAGGGUGCAAGCGUUGUCCGGAAUUAUUGGGCGUAAAGAGCUCGUAGGCGGUUUGUCGCGUCUGCUGUGAAAACCCGAGGCUCAACCUCGGGCCUGCAGUGGGUACGGGCAGACUAGAGUGCGGUAGGGGAGAUUGGAAUUCCUGGUGUAGCGGUGGAAUGCGCAGAUAUCAGGAGGAACACCGAUGGCGAAGGCAGAUCUCUGGGCCGUAACUGACGCUGAGGAGCGAAAGCGUGGGGAGCGAACAGGAUUAGAUACCCUGGUAGUCCACGCCGUAAACGUUGGGAACUAGAUGUGGGGGCCAUUCCACGGCUUCCGUGUCGCAGCUAACGCAUUAAGUUCCCCGCCUGGGGAGUACGGCCGCAAGGCUAAAACUCAAAGGAAUUGACGGGGGCCCGCACAAGCGGCGGAGCAUGCGGAUUAAUUCGAUGCAACGCGAAGAACCUUACCAAGGCUUGACAUAUACCUGAAAAGGCUGGAAACAGUCUCCCCGCAGGCAGGUAUACAGGUGGUGCAUGGUUGUCGUCAGCUCGUGUCGUGAGAUGUUGGGUUAAGUCCCGCAACGAGCGCAACCCUCGUUCUAUGUUGCCAGCACGUAAUGGUGGGAACUCAUAGGAGACUGCCGGGGUCAACUCGGA